RNAcentral lists this transfer RNA (69 nucleotides) under Philander frenatus (Southeastern four-eyed oppossum). Its description in RNAcentral is "tRNA-Glu". It matches the Rfam family "tRNA". Rfam says of the family: Transfer RNA (tRNA) molecules are approximately 80 nucleotides in length. Their secondary structure includes four short double-helical elements and three loops (D, anti-codon, and T loops). Further hydrogen bonds mediate the characteristic L-shaped molecular structure. tRNAs have two regions of fundamental functional importance: the anti-codon, which is responsible for specific mRNA codon recognition, and the 3' end, to which the tRNAs corresponding amino acid is attached (by aminoacyl-tRNA synthetases). tRNAs cope with the degeneracy of the genetic code in two manners: having more than one tRNA (with a specific anti-codon) for a particular amino acid; and 'wobble' base-pairing, i.e. permitting non-standard base-pairing at the 3rd anti-codon position. The record is from RNAcentral. Lineage: Eukaryota; Metazoa; Chordata; Mammalia; Didelphimorphia; Didelphidae.
AUUUUUAUAGUUGAAAUACAACGAUGGUUUUUCAUGCCAUAGGUUAUGGUUAGAGUCCAUGUAAAAAUA